This is a long non-coding RNA of Vicia villosa (hairy vetch), 2536 nucleotides long. RefSeq lists it as uncharacterized. The record is from RefSeq and is a predicted model, not a curated record. The transcript is spliced from 11 exons. Lineage: Eukaryota; Viridiplantae; Streptophyta; Magnoliopsida; Fabales; Fabaceae.
CCUUUUACUCUUCCCCCAAUUUCCUAUAGAACAUUUGAACCCUUCACAUUCCAACCUCAGUUUCUCAAACACAACACCACAACAAGAAUCUAAAAGUCUUUUUCUUCAUCUUCUCUGUUCACUCUUUCCACCGAUUCCAAUCCAAACCAUAAUCCUACUCCCUGACGAUCACAUUGUGAGGAUUUAAAUGUCCAAUCUACAAGUAUAUUCGUAUAGAUUGUUUCCUUUGAUUUGAUGCAUAUGAUAUUGCUUAGAAGAAGGCAAUAAAUUGUACCAGACAUUGCUUUCCAUGAAUCUAGGCAAGUGUUAUUCACGCGUCAAGCGUCAGCGGAGCUCACUGACGAAGAUAUCGAUAAAACAACCAGUUCUUGAAGACCUUGAACCUUCCUUAACAUUGUUGCUCUUAGCAACGUAAUUCUUAUCCAUUUCAUUUCUUCAUAAUCAUUUAUCAUAGUUUCUAAUUCAUCAUAUUGUGAUUUCGAUUUCAAUUUGGAUUUCAAUUUCGUAAGGUGCGGUAAAUCUGCGGUUCUGAACAGUUUAAUGGACAUCCAGUUUUGCUGGGUGAAUAGUCCAACAUGCUUCUGAUUGAGCAAGUUUAGCGAAUUUCUCUUUAAAGGGAUAUACGUGUUUCUCAAUGAACUUAACUAUUUUAUUCCUCAGCACUAAAACCUUUUUCCUAAGAGUAAACUUCCCUUCAUUUGAGAGAAGAGAUGUCAGUUUGAACCACACUAUGAGAAACAAAAUUGCUUGACAUAGUUUUGUUUACACUAUGGGAUAGAACAUAACCUUAAUGAAAACGGCAUGAGUGCGCUUUCCGAUCCAAACUUGUGCUUCUUUCCAUAAUAUGCGUUGAAAUAUAUAUAUCAAUACCGUAUUUUAUCUUGAACUCUGCCUAUGAUGUGUUCCAAUUCCAUCAUAUAUUGGCGCCACCUUCAGCUGAUCCCCUCUGACACUAGAGACACCGCAAGGGGUUAACUUUUAUACACAAAUCAAAACAAUAACGCAGAACAGGAAGGAUUUGGGUAACCCUUUGUCGUUCUUUGUUGUUUUUCAUGUGAAAGAUUUAUAAUUUUUAUUAAUAUCUAUUGAUUCCCGGUUAUGGGGUUAAGUAAAAAACUCAACUUUUGAUUCUGUUAUGUUCUGAAAGGUGAAAGUUUUAAUUAAGCCAUGUUUUCCAUGCUUUGAAAAUUUGGAUUACACCAUUAUUUUUUGUUUUUUGUGAUUCAUAACUAUUUUUAGCACUGUUAUAUAGGGAGUUUACUAUCAUGAUUUUAAUCUCACCAAGAUGUCCCCUAUGUGUCUUUAUGAGUUGAAACUGGUGUAAAAGUGACAAUUCAUGUGGCUGGUUUUCAACCAUGUCGCUGGUUUGGGUAUGUUACGUCACUCAAUGUUCAAGGAGAACAUUAGAUAGAUUCCAUCUUUUCAAAUGUAGAAAACUACUUUUGGCGUGCUCACUUAACUUGAUUGCCUGCUACUUGAAGACAAGACAGUGUGAUGAAUGCAUAAAAGAAGGUUCUAAGGUUUUGGCGUAUGACACAAAGAACCUUAAGGCUCUUUAUCGAAGAUGUCAGGCAUAUGAGGAGCGAGGCCUGCUACAGGUGACCUGUAAGUGACACAAUUAUGUCCCCUAUGUCGUCACUGAUUUGAGCAAUUCACUUGAAGUGUCCCCUGAUGAUGAUAUAAUUGGAGAGCUUCUACGAGACACCAAGGUACAGUUGAUAAAGGAAGGUGGUCAUUAUGCUAUUGGAAUAAUUGAAGAGUUAACUGAAGAAGUUGAGAACGUGCCUUCUAGAAACAACAGAAACACUUUUCCAAACAAACGUAUGAUCAACCAAAAAAGUCUGGUGACUCCUCUAAGAGUUACAAUAUAGCUAACAAUGGAAAUCCAAAAUCAAAUUCAGAUAGUAUAGAUACACUAAAGAAAGAUCCUGAAGCCAUCAGGUUGCUUUUGGCUUGCAUUUUUAUACUUGCAUGUGUAAGUCUGCAGGUGUCCAGUUUUGGUGUUUUAGUUGCAGAAGUCACUUCAAUUGCGGUGAGCAUCCGAUAGGAAAUCGGCUUGAUGCAUCAAUCGCAAAUUCAGUUGGGUGAAAAUGCCCUUCGUAGUUUUUGGACGGUAGAUGUGCCUGGUGUUUCAAUUUCGGUGUUUGAGCAAUUGGAAAAGAUAUGGCAAAAUCUAUCAUCCUUAUGUUUUAAUAUUGAAUCGCGCAGGAAGUGACUGCUUGCUUAGGCAGAUUUUUUUCAUGUAGAGGUGGUUCGGAACGCAUGCAGCGUAUUAGGUUGGUUUCAACUGUUAUUUUUGGUGCUGUUUGCUUUUGCAGUUUUUUCGGGCAGAGGUGUUUCGUGGUUAGGGGUCUGUGUGCUUGCAAGUUUAUUGGGAUUUGGACUUGGUUGUUCAUGAAUGUUUUGCAUUUGUAUUUUUAUAGUUGCAAAUGUCUAGAAUAGGUGGUGUUAGUGUGAGGGUUUAUUCUGUUUCUGCAGUUUAUCUUAUUGCUUGCUAUUUGUUUCAUUGUACUGGUUGAGAUCUCUUAUGCCUAUG